Molecule: long non-coding RNA, 434 nt
Filed under: Physcomitrium patens
Lineage: Eukaryota; Viridiplantae; Streptophyta; Bryopsida; Funariales; Funariaceae
Description: long non-coding RNA (PPAT_LNC000431)
Source: RNAcentral
AGGCGCUGAAGCUGGCACUGUUGUGUGCAAAACAAACACCAUCACAACGACCUACCAUGUAUGAUGUGGCUCAAGUGCUGAGCUCACUUCUACCAGUGGCGUCAUCCCCUUACAAACCCCCAACCUAUCCCUCGCCAGGAUCCAAACAUCGGCGUUACAUCGACACCUACAGCGCUAAGCCAGCCGAGGGCAUCAAUGCCAACAGCACUUCCUCCGGCGGAGACUUGCUGGACCAGUUUGAGAAUGUGAUCAAUUCACGAAAUAUGUGAUAGAUUACUCAAUGUCGAGGCCACUCUCCGCCUGAACAACCUUCCCAAUUCUUAAACAAAAACAAAACUCGAGUCCCAUUGUGUCCACCUGUAAAUUCCCUGUCAGUAAAUUAAAUAGAAUGGUAGAGAUACUGCAAUGAGGGUAGAUCAUGGAGUCCUCAAGCU